AGGUCAGAGGCCUCGCUGAAGUGGUGCAGGCCAUGCAGCAGCAGCAACAACCGCAGGCGUCAGUGCGACUGGAGAGAACAUCGUCGAAACUCUAAAAUUUGGUGGUAGGAUGGGCCACUUGGGCCAGUCGCCCCGUCUUUCCCGAAAAGAUGAAUCCGAGGGUGGAGAGCCCUCAGUCAGAUCACGAUUCUACUCCUGGAAGAUCUCUACCUCCAUUCUGCCAGAAGACCCUCGAGACCCGUAGUCAAGAGGAUUUCCU
This 259-nucleotide long non-coding RNA is filed under the name Elaeis guineensis (African oil palm). RNAcentral describes it as "long non-coding RNA (EGUI_LNC068033)". Lineage: Eukaryota; Viridiplantae; Streptophyta; Magnoliopsida; Arecales; Arecaceae. The record is from RNAcentral.